This is an RNA transcript of Platichthys flesus (European flounder), 4899 nucleotides long. It is a transcript of the gene named family with sequence similarity 83 member Gb, with no coding region annotated. The transcript has 7 exons. NCBI's taxonomy places the organism in Eukaryota, Metazoa, Chordata, Actinopteri, Pleuronectiformes, Pleuronectidae. The record is from RefSeq and is a predicted model, not a curated record.
AUGUGAAUGUAAAUAUGAAAUAAUAAGGCUGUAAUUUUAUUAUUCUGAGGUAAUAAGUGCUCAUAUAACAGUGUAAAGUACGUGAUGUCAUCAUGGGACACGAGACUCAUAACAUGGAAAAGUUGAUUCCAUAUAGAAAGUUAGACAUUUAAAUUGAAAUCUUAAAACAAGAAUCACUUUUCUCUGACCUCAUUUUAUCCUCAUGCCAUAAUAAAGUGAUCCAAACAUUCAUUCUCCAGAGUUUCCACAACUAGCAAACAUUUCCUCUACUUUACAUUAUUAUUAUAUAUAAAACCACAGUGAGUACACGGCCCCAGGACAUGGAAUUAAAAAGUCCCACGUGGAACCAGUGGAGCUCGUCUGUGUGGUUUUAAUGGUUUGGACUGAAUAACGCGUCCAGGCAUGAGGGUGGAGUUUGAGUCCUCCCUUUCUCCAGACCGGCCACCGGACACUCCGCCUGUCUGUUCCCGGGAAUCAGCUUCCGUUGCUGCAUUCCAGGGGCACACACACACACCGGUAGCUCCCAUCGCACGGUGACCGCGGGAUGGGACGUUUUCAACGGGUGAUAAAGUGAAGUUAAACCGCUGUGAACCCGGACCGGGAGGAAGCGGAGACUCGUGUCCGCCCCGCUGGAGGAGUUUUACUUCUUUUUGUUUUUACUCCGUUAUUUCCGGGGGGAAACUCGGCCACGUCGGAGCCGAUGAGACAACCGACACAGGAACCGGGAACGUGACUCGUCUGCCGCUGACGUUUGAGUCGCUCACGCGGAGCUCCAACACUUCAAAACGGGGAUUAAUGUCCCGUUUUAACCUCGUGUUCCCGGUUGUGCUGACUCACCGGCAGACAGACUCCCUCCCUGCCUCGCUCCACGGCCGCCGGGCCCCGCGGCUGCAGAAGCUGAGCUGAAGCGGGCCGCGGCCUCAGGCACCCCGGGCUGUCAGGUGAGAGGCGUGGCUCUGGGCGGGAGCAGCUCCGGCAGCACCUGGGCGAGGGAGUGUGCGAGCGGAGGAGCACUGAGCGGGAUCCCGGGCUGAGGGAGCGAUCAGGCGUGGAGCAGAGGACAGCGGUUCCCAGGUCACCGGGGACACGGUAAUGACCCACGGCGCCUUUUCGAGGUUUGACCGAGAGGACGGACAAGUGGAGACCGGGUCAGAGAGGAUCUAGGGCGGACAGCGGGGGGACAACCGGGGGCCAUGGCUCAUUCUCAGGUUCAGUGUCUGGACGACCACCACGUCAACUGGCGGGUGAGUGAGAGCAAGCCGGAGUUCUUCUACAGCGAGGACCAGCGGCUGGCCGUGGAGGCGCUGGUCACCAAGGGCCGGGACGCCUACAUCGAGGUCCUCCACCCGAGGGGAGUGCGGGACUUCCUCUCGGAGCCGGAGCUGGAGCGGAUCCAGCGCACGACGGAAGCUUACCGGCCCGGGCACGAGCACCAUCAGAAACCAGACACCCCCGGCCUGGGGAACAUCACCCCGGGCUCGGGGGAGGAAACCGGGGACGGGGAGGUGUCGCUCCAGUACUGGCCGGACCGGUCCGAGGGCUCCGUGGUGGAGCUGGACCUGGGCUGGCCCGAGGCCAUCUCCUACCGUGGGGUGACACGGGUCACCGUGUACACACAGCCUCCAACCGACGGACACACGCACAUCAAGGAGGUGGUGAGGAAGUGCAUCGCGGGAGCUCAGAAGGUAAUAGCCGUGGUAAUGGAUGUGUUUACAGACGUGGAUAUCUUUCGCGACCUGCUUGAUGCUGCAUAUAAACGCAAAGUUCCUGUAUACAUCAUCAUUGACACGGCUGCAGUCCCCUGCUUUCUUUCCAUGUGUGGCAGAGCUGAUAUGCACCGUGGACAUCUAAAGAAUCUGCGUGUGCGCUGCUGCGGAGGCGUGGAGUUCUUCACCCGGUCGGCACAGAAGGUGCGUGGGUCGCUGAGCCAGAAGUUUCUCCUGGUCGAUGUAGACCGAGCCAUCUCUGGUUCAUACAGCUUCACCUGGUCGUCCUCUCGUUUGGACCGUAACCUCAUCACUGUGAUCACGGGACAGGCGGUGGAGACGUUGGACCUACAGUUUCAGGACCUUUACCUCGUGUCCAGAGGCGUGUCUCUCAGCAAGGUUCCCAUGGUGGAUGAACCCGUCCCGGACCCGCUGUACCAGGUGGCUCCUGCUCCUGUGUCAGCUGCUAUUGCAAGGAAACUCAUCAAUCCCAAAUACUCCCUGGUUACCACAGGAGCCAACAGUCCAGCCCCCUCGGACAAGAACUCUGCAAAUCCAACGGGGCUAAAAAUAAAGAAAGGGCGUCUCAAGCAGGUUAUCGAAGAACCGCCAUUACACCCAGGAUUAGCCCAUCUGGAGAAAGCAUACAUGAUCCCAUACCUGCCCACCUGGCCAGAUCCUGACCCACCGAGCGACGUGAUAGGCUUCAUCAACAUCAGGGAUGAAAAACGGGCCAAUCAGGUUCAUCUACAGAGGUCGGAGAGGUUUGAUGUAAGCAGGGCUAUACGCUUCAGCUCACCGCUGACUGUGAAACCCCAGCCUGAGGAGCCUGCUCCAGCUCAGGAGGCAGACGCAGCAGAAAUAACCAAAAAGCCCUCUGGGAAUACAAGUCCAGAAGCCUCUACUCCUGUGACAACAACCAGUACGCAAGUCCAAGAGAAAACAAACGCUCCCCCCAACAAAGACCAAAGUGAUACAACAGAUUCCAGUGUGGCCCCUCAGCAGCCCCUCACACAGGAAACACACAAAACAAAUGAACACACUCCUAAAUCAGUCGCCCCUGCUGAUUCACAGCCAACAGAUGGCGUUAAACAAACUGCAGAGACACAAGCCCCAGCUCCUCCUGUUCCUAAACGCCGCACCCUGCAGCUGGUCCUGGACCCGUCCCCUACCGAGCAGCCGGGACAACCGCAGGUGACUCUCAUUAAAAUGGACCAACUGGAAGGUCAACAGGACUCUUUGAGCAAAAGGAGAAGCCAGGCGGAGCUGACGGUACGCCGUGGACGCAUGACCUCAAAGAACUUGGAGGGGGACUCCGGCAGCAACGAGUCCGGCAGCCAGGACAGCACCAAGGUCAUCUGUGACCGGGCGACCAACGAUGAUCCUUCAAGUGCUUCCACCGUGUCGGAGGAGGAGUUCUACGAUUCCCCGCAGGAGCCGAUCGACCCGCCGCUGAACGGAGUCUCGACGGGUUCGGGUCACGGAGGCCGGCACGGAGACGGGGUCAACAUGAUGGCCCGCCUCUCCCAGAGUAUGCUGGACCUGCGAGAGCCCAGCCAACCGGAGGACAGCACCGCCCUCAUCCGCCAAUCACAGCAGCUUCGCAGACAAGGUCACCCCUCACCACACAGGCACAUAGGAGAAUUGUUCAGGACAUCUAGAUCUCCAGGGAGAGAUGCACGACUGCAAGGAAACAAAGUCGUCAUCGCCAAACCGGGGAGUUACAACCGCCCGACCCGAGCAACUGGCCCGGUGAUCGGAGGACACCGUUACUGGGACGGUGAAGCGAUGCAAUCCAAUUCCACCCAGCAGCACGCACAGACGCGGUCCAGCCGGUCGCCCCAACGCCACAGCCCGGGUUACAGGAACACGGACCAAUCCUCGGCUCAGCCGCCGCCGCUCAACCCAUCAGGGCUUCUAGGAGUUUCUCUCUCAAAACUGACCAACUUCAGACACUUGAGGGCACGAGGAGGAGGAGGAGGAGGGUCGCAGAAGAAGGCGACUCAAAAUAACAAGGCUGCUUCUUAGAGCAGAGGACCUGUGGACACACGGACGUUUGUUGUACAAAGACGUCCUGCUAAGAAACUGGUGACUCUUCACUGUGGAAUCCUUCCUAUCUCAGGCCUGCAUGUCCCUUCCUGUCUUAAACCCUGAGGCUCAGCUUGCCUCAACUAUUUAAUAGUGAAUAUUGACUGUUAAGAUUUAUGAAUCUGAUACGAUGAUGUGUUGUUAAGAGGUUUUGUCUGUAAAUUAAUUACUUGUCCUUCCAAACUAUGUUCUUCCUGGUUAAAGGUUUUCAGACUGGAUGCUACCAGUGGCGUCCGGCUGAUAAAGUUUUAGAGGAUGUUGCCGAUCUGAGAUGAAAUUAACUUUCCAAACAAAUGCAUAACACUUUUGUAGUCAAUUAAUUUAGUUAUCUUGUUUCCAAGGCCCUGUUCAGACCCGGAGUUCAGGUCUCACUGCCCUGCCCUAUGUGCAAAUAACCAGUCAUUUGUAUUUGUUUAGACCAAAUGAUCUUGUUUUUGCCCAGUCAGAGUUUAAAGAUGUGUCAUAUGUCAGUGUGUUUGUGUGUCGACACAGUCCAGAUUGUGAUGUGGGGAUCAGAGUUGAUAUUGUGACAUCAGCUGAUUCUGUGUUUCUUCACAAGUGACACAUUUCCGUUCAAGCUGUGGAAGUAAUGCGUCGCAGAGCAGCUCCCAAUAUGAUCUGAGGAGUCCAGGCUGGAACGGAGAUCCCAUCUUUCAGGCCAGAUGUUAACAACCAGAUGUACCUGGUCGGUGCACCAGUACCAGGUGGCCAGUAUGGUGAGGCCCAGCGUCAUGCCAGGCCAGGGCAGGUCCCCGGUGACGGCGUUCCUGAACAGCCAGUGACAGCGAUGCCUCCAGCCGCUCCAGUCCCGGCCAGACCGAUGAAGAGCCCUGAUCCCUCGGAGCUGGCGAACAGAGACGCUCCGAUCUGAUGGAACAGGAAACAUGAGCUUUACCUCGAGAACCAACAUGACUUCAAAUAGAUACUCUGCUACAAGUCUAAGUAUCAGAAGCAAACAUUAAAGUACACCCUCGGGAAGAAUAAUAUUAGUAUCUUAGGCCUUAUUUUGAAUAAAGUUACUUUCAAUGACUUCAUCCACAGAUAGUUUCGUCCAGUAGUUCUCAACCUGUAGUUUGUUUCCCUCCAAAGAUUCAGAGUUUUUUUU